Molecule: ribosomal RNA, 483 nt
Filed under: uncultured bacterium
Lineage: Bacteria
Description: partial 16S ribosomal RNA
Rfam family: Bacterial small subunit ribosomal RNA
Source: RNAcentral
AUUGAACGCUGGCGGCAUGCUUUACACAUGCAAGUCGAACGGCAGCGCGGGCUUCGGCCUGGCGGCGAGUGGCGAACGGGUGAGUAAUGCAUCGGAACGUGCCCAGUAGUGGGGGAUAGCCCGGCGAAAGCCGGAUUAAUACCGCAUACGACCUGAGGGUGAAAGCGGGGGACCGAAAGGCCUCGCGCUAUUGGAGCGGCCGAUGUCGGAUUAGCUAGUUGGUGGGGUAAAGGCUUACCAAGGCGACGAUCCGUAGCUGGUCUGAGAGGACGACCAGCCACACUGGGACUGAGACACGGCCCAGACUCCUACGGGAGGCAGCAGUGGGGAAUUUUGGACAAUGGGGGCAACCCUGAUCCAGCUAUGCCGCGUGCGGGAAGAAGGCCUUCGGGUUGUAAACCGCUUUUGUUCGGGAAGAAAUCCUCUGGGCUAAUACCCCGGGGGAUGACGGUACCGGAAGAAUAAGCACCGGCUAACUACGUG